GACGAACACUGGCGGCGUGCUUAACACAUGCAAGUCGAACGAAGUGGCGAACGGGUGAGUAACGCGUAAUCAACCUGCCCUUCAGAGGGUGACAACAGUUGGAAACGACUGCUAAUACCGCAUACUGAAGGAGGGGACUGCGUCGGAUUAGCUAGUUGGAGGGGUAACGGCCAACCAAGGCGCAGAUCAGGAGCCGGUCUGGGAGGAGGAACGGCCACAUUGGGACUUGGACACGGCCCAGACUCCUACGGGGGGCAGCAGUGGGGAAUCUGCCGCAAUGGACGAAAGUCUGACGGAGCAACGCCGCGUGAGUGAUGACGGGCUUCGGGUUGUAAAGCUCUGUUAAUCGGGACGCGGUACCGGAAUAGAAAGCCACGGCUAACUACGUGCCAGCCGCCGCGGUAAUAC
Molecule: ribosomal RNA, 408 nt
Filed under: uncultured bacterium
Lineage: Bacteria
Description: partial 16S ribosomal RNA
Rfam family: Bacterial small subunit ribosomal RNA
Source: RNAcentral